UACGUAGGGGGCGAGCGUUGUCCGGAUUCAUUGGGCGUAAAGCGCUUUAAGGCGGUUCGCUAAGUCGGGUGUGAAACCUCCAGGCUCAACCUGGAGACGCCACUCGAUACUGGCGUGACUAGAGUCCGGUAGGGGACCACGGAAUUCCUGGUGUAGCGGUGAAAUGCGCAGAUAUCAGGAGGAACACCGAUGGCGAAGGCAGCUCGCUGGGACGGUAUUGACGCUGAGGAGCGAAAGCGUGGGGAGCGAACAGG
This 254-nucleotide ribosomal RNA is filed under the name uncultured bacterium. RNAcentral's name for it is "partial 16S ribosomal RNA". It matches the Rfam family "Bacterial small subunit ribosomal RNA", at positions 524 to 776 of the family's 1533-position model. The record is from RNAcentral.